ACUAGUUUUGCUUUUCUUUAGCUACAAAAUUACCAAGGAAAAGAACAUGACUGAUGAGAUACAUGCUUAAAUGUUAAUCCAACCAAGAAUACAAUAAAAAUAGAAAAACAAAAACACACAUACCAGAAAAUAAAUAUUCUUUUCUGCACAAGAAGGAUUAGCAAUACACAUUUCUCUUCACCAAUCCUACUGUUGAUUGAUUAAAUAACUGAUUGUACCAUACAUGUCCCAAAUAUGAAUUAGAAAGUGGCAAUGUCACUUGGAAUUGAGUAGAGGUGUCGGGAAUGGGUAUAUAUCUGUGUCAGACUUGUGACCUUUUUAAUGCUCGGAUAUGUUACGUAGGCCAAAAGGGUUGAAGUAAUCUAUCAAAGGGGUCAGCCACAAUUAAAAUUGUGAUAU
RNAcentral lists this unclassified non-coding RNA (399 nucleotides) under Hevea brasiliensis (rubber tree). Lineage: Eukaryota; Viridiplantae; Streptophyta; Magnoliopsida; Malpighiales; Euphorbiaceae. The record is from RNAcentral.